Lolium rigidum is the source of this 86-nucleotide small nucleolar RNA. RefSeq annotates it as small nucleolar RNA Z102/R77. The transcript has a single exon. NCBI's taxonomy places the organism in Eukaryota, Viridiplantae, Streptophyta, Magnoliopsida, Poales, Poaceae. The record is from RefSeq and is a predicted model, not a curated record.
GAUUGAGAUGAUGAUACAAUAUACCUAUUGGGUUGAUUGGCCUGCAUGAUGGUCUCAAUUCUGUAUUUAGCUCUAUCUGAUCCAUC